Molecule: long non-coding RNA, 3089 nt
Filed under: Nicotiana tabacum (common tobacco)
Lineage: Eukaryota; Viridiplantae; Streptophyta; Magnoliopsida; Solanales; Solanaceae
Description: long non-coding RNA (NTAB_LNC017100)
Source: RNAcentral
CCUCAUAAAAUCCACAACAAACAAAAACAAAUACUAAUUCAUAAAUUCAAAGUGUCAACUUAACAAAAAUGCUAAACUAUUUGAAUCUAACUAGUAUCUUUUUAAAUCUAAUAAGUUGUGCUAUCAAAUAGCUAUAAAAAGACAAUAUGAGACAACUAAAAGAUUCUACAUCUCUUAAUCACAAUGAAGUCUUGCCACUUGCCAAAUUUUUGAACAUCAUAAUAUAUGUCCUGAAAUGAUAAAAAAACAAAAUCAUAUAAACAACCACAUAUGAAGUUUAUCAAUAAUUAAUCGAACAACUAUGUAACAUUCACAAACUCAUGCUAGCAUAUCAAGGAAUUGCUACUAAAAAAUUCAAUCAAAACUAAUAUACAAAACGUCUAUUGUAUGAAACAUAGGCUAUAUUUUUGCAGUAGUCUUUUGUUCAAAAGUAAAUUUCUACUGGAAGAUCUCAAAGGCUGGUAUAAGCUCAAAAUCAACUUUAUUUCUAAUCUUCAUAUGAUAAUUAAUGCCUUUUUCAACUAGAUGGAUUACCAUUGGAUUAUUUUCAUUCUGUAGUUGAAUUAAUCCAGUCAUUCUCAGCAGGAAGUUAAGAGGAGGACUAAAUCUCUAAAUAUUUCACAAUGUCAAUAAUUCAUGUGACAGUUAAGGAGACAUUAGAUUUGCAAAUACAAAACCAUAUAAAUUCAUUAAUUCUCAGGUUUCGAUAACACAAUGAAAAAAUCUUUAAGUCAUAGCAUAUAUAACAUCAUUAAAAAAGAAAAACAUAUCUGCCAUAGUUUGGCUUCAUUCAACUGAUGCAGCUUCUUUGUAUCUCUUGUGCUAGAUUCUCGACAUGGCCAUAUAUGGAAUAGUAACUGCAUAGAUUUAUAUUUUUCACUAUUAGCCCAAAAUUGGUAAACAUAAAUGAAUCCGACAAUCAUCCCCACUUGUAGAAAUAAUUUUAAGAUUCAUAAGACUUUACAGUAUAUCAUAUAUGCAUUCUAGAGACAAGAAAAUUUGACUUUAAAUUGAAUAAGAGUCACAUAUCACACUAGAAUAAUUGCAUACCAUCCAAUUACAUAGCACCAAAUAUACCAAGGAUGAGAACAUAAAGCAUUACAAUUCAACUUCACAAAAAACUUCUAGAAAUGAAACAGGAAAAAGAUGGCACAAAUCAGAAAGCACUCUAUUGCCACAAAUUACCCAAUGAAGGAUUUCUAGAAUCAAGUCUUGGGAAUUUGUUGGGGGGCUUUUAUUACUAAUUGAAAUGUAAAAGAAAGGCCACGAUGUUCCGGCCUUAAAUAUAUAUGGUAGUUGUUACUUAUCAGUAUAACCAUAUACAAAGAUAAUACACCAAUUCUAUCCUACAUUUUAUAUUAAUACUUUAAUUAAAAAAAUCAUCUUUAAAAAGGCUAAAAGAAUACCUAUGAGACUAAUCAUAAGAAAAAAGUUCAUGAAACUAGCUUUAAUGUUUCAUCCUGAUAUGAGCAAGUGACUGAAGGAUCAAAUGGACAUGUUUAAGAAGCAUGUAGCUUGUUAUCUAGUAAGAACAAGAAAUCAUCACCUAUUUGAUCCAAAUCAAAUAUUAUCCCGCUAGCCUAUUUCAUAAUAUGAUUAGACAAACACACUCCGAUAACAUCUUUACAGUAGCUAAUUAUUGCAAGGGCAAGCUUCUACAAAACAUAAUUGAAAUAUAACUCAAGAAAUUCUUGUUACAGCAUUAAUCCUCCUCUUGAAAUAAAAUUUUACGUCAUCUAGUAGUUUAAUCUUCCACCAAUAUUUAGCCACUGGCCAAAUUAUGUAAAUAUAAGUUCAAAAGUAACUACUGGUAAUUUGGCUAAAGAGCCUUAUUUCUUUAAUGCACAAAGAGACUCGGUAUAGGGAGUAGUGAAUUUAUAGUUUGAGAUAUAAUUAACAUACUACCUUCAAAUACUAAACAAUAGUAAUUAUUCAAUGUUGAAACUAUCUUCUGUCAUCUUAUGAGUAGUAUUACCUUUGGCCUUGACCAAAGGAGCUAUUCCAUGUUAUACAAGAUCCAGAAAUUUAAAAAAAAUAAGGAACAUAACAAAAUAUUAUGGUCAAUUAAUAAAAGUGACUUACGUCCUUGAAAAAUUAUGCAAUUUGCAAGUGAACAUACUCCAAUAGCCCAGAUUCAAAAUCGAUUAUUACGCAUAUCUGCAGUUAUAAAUUAUUAAUUAAAUUCAAAUAAAGAAUGAUGUGGUUCUCUUGUUCUGUAGCUGACCUAAUUAAUUGGUAUUUGGAUGAAGUGAGUCACAUGAGAUAUGCUCUUAAAGAAUCAUUUGAAUUAGAACAUAAAUCUUACCCUAAUUCUAGGGAAAUAAGUGAGGAUGAUAAUAAAAUGAAACUUCAAAAUUAGCUUCCUCUAUUGUAAAACAUUCUAUUGACCAAUGUUAUUGAUUUCAUCAAUAUCCUUUGUCAGCUCUAUAUGAUUUCAAAGCCAAGAUAUAACAAAUAAGAUAUAUUGUCCAACAUAAAGUAAAUCUACUAGAUAGUUUAGCAGUAACUAGUAGGAAAGAGGGACGUUACUAUACAAUAAAUCUUAGUAUGUUUGACGUCAAACCUGAAAAAAGAGACACCACAAAAAAGGUUAGUUUUUGGAUUCCAAACCCUCACUUUUUGACUCCGUCCAAUUCUCGAAAUAUUGGGGGACCUUCAGCACGUAUUAAAAAAUUUAGCUUACUAAAAAUUGCAUUAAAUUAAUUACUCAUAUUGAUUAUCAAACUUCAACCUAGAAAUUUUAAUCAAACAUCAAGAAGGCAAUCCGACUUCUUGAAAUUUUUUAAUUCAACUCAAACGCGGUAUAAAAACUUGAGAAUUUUAAAAAUGAAAAAUCAACAACUGACCUGAAACAAGUAGAUUGAAGUAAUUCACAUCUUUGGGAAGCGGUGAAGAUAAUUACUAAUCAAUUUUACUCGAUUUUGGACUUCCGAAGAUCAAAGGAGAUCUACCAUUUUUCUCUAAGGAUUUAAAGCCCUAUCGUUAUGGGUUUCUAUGGAGAGAGGCAACAUAGCAAUGUGGAGAGAUAGAGUGUAGACGUCAAGAGAGAUGCAUUCUAUGAAGGCUCUAAAUGAUAAAUUCAAUAUAUG